UAGUAUGAUGAUCUUUUUAUUUUAAUGCUACACAACCAAGAUCGCUGACUGAUCGUGUUGAUAAUCCUAUCUGAGGCU
This 78-nucleotide small nucleolar RNA is filed under the name Drosophila willistoni. RNAcentral describes it as "snoRNA:GK26672". Lineage: Eukaryota; Metazoa; Arthropoda; Insecta; Diptera; Drosophilidae. The record is from RNAcentral.